ACCAGACUCCUACGGGAGGCAGCAGUGGGGGAUAUUGCACAAUGGGGGAAACCCUGAUGCAGCGACGCCGCGUGAGUGAAGAAGUAUUUCGGUAUGUAAAGCUCUAUCAGCAGGGAAGAAAAAAGACGGUACCUGACUAAGAAGCCCCGGCUAACUACGUGCCAGCAGCCGCGGUAAUACGUAGGGGGCAAGCGUUAUCCGGAUUUACUGGGUGUAAAGGGAGCGUAGACGGCAAUACAAGUCGGAAGUGAAAUACCCGGGCUCAACCUGGGAAUUGCUUUGGAAACUGUAUGGCUGGAGUGCUGGAGAGGUAAGCGGAAUUCCUAGUGUAGCGGUGAAAUGCGUAGAUAUUAGGAGGAACACCAGUGGCGAAGGCGGCUUACUGGACAGUAACUGACGUUGAGGCUCGAAAGCGUGGGGAACAAACAGGAUUAGAUACCCUGGUAGC
Molecule: ribosomal RNA, 448 nt
Filed under: uncultured bacterium
Lineage: Bacteria
Description: bacterial SSU rRNA
Rfam family: Bacterial small subunit ribosomal RNA
Source: RNAcentral